CUCUGGGAUAAGCGCUGGAAACGGCGUCUAAUACUGGAUAUGUGACGUGACCGCAUGGUCUGCGUCUGGAAAGAAUUUCGGUUGGGGAUGGGCUCGCGGCCUAUCAGCUUGUUGGUGAGGUAAUGGCUCACCAAGGCGUCGACGGGUAGCCGGCCUGAGAGGGUGACCGGCCACACUGGGACUGAGACACGGCCCAGACUCCUACGGGAGGCAGCAGUGGGGAAUAUUGCACAAUGGGCGCAAGCCUGAUGCAGCAACGCCGCGUGAGGGACGACGGCCUUCGGGUUGUAAACCUCUUUUAGCAGGGAAGAAGCGAAAGUGACGGUACCUGCAGAAAAAGCGCCGGCUAACUACGUGCCAGCAGCCGCGGUAAUACGUAGGGCGCAAGCGUUAUCCGGAAUUAUUGGGCGUAAAGAGCUCGUAGGCGGUUUGUCGCGUCUGCUGUGAAAUCCGGAGGCUCAACCUCCGGCCUGCAGUGGGUACGGGCAGACUAGAGUGCGGUAGGGGAGAUUGGAAUUCCUGGUGUAGCGGUGGAAUGCGCAGAUAUCAGGAGGAACACCGAUGGCGAAGGCAGAUCUCUGGGCCGUAACUGACGCUGAGGAGCGAAAGGGUGGGGAGCAAACAGGCUUAGAUACCCUGGUAGUCCACCCCGUAAACGUUGGGAACUAGUUGUGGGGUCCAUUCCACGGAUUCCGUGACGCAGCUAACGCAUUAAGUUCCCCGCCUGGGGAGUACGGCCGCAAGGCUAAAACUCAAAGGAAUUGACGGGGACCCGCACAAGCGGCGGAGCAUGCGGAUUAAUUCGAUGCAACGCGAAGAACCUUACCAAGGCUUGACAUAUACGAGAACGGGCCAGAAAUGGUCAACUCUUUGGACACUCGUAAACAGGUGGUGCAUGGUUGUCGUCAGCUCGUGUCGUGAGAUGUUGGGUUAAGUCCCGCAACGAGCGCAACCCUCGUUCUAUGUUGCCAGCACGUAAUGGUGGGAACUCAUGGGAUACUGCCGGGGUCAACUCGGAGGAAGGUGGGGAUGACGUCAAAUCAUCAUGCCCCUUAUGUCUUGGGCUUCACGCAUGCUACAAUGGCCGGUACAAAGGGCUGCAAUACCGCGAGGUGGAGCGAAUCCCAAAAAGCCGGUCCCAGUUCGGAUUGAGGUCUGCAACUCGACCUCAUGAAGUCGGAGUCGCUAGUAAUCGCAGAUCAGCAACGCUGCGGUGAAUACGUUCCCGGGUCUUGUACACACCGCCCGUCAAGUCAUGAAAGU
This 1263-nucleotide ribosomal RNA is filed under the name Microbacterium oxydans. Its description in RNAcentral is "bacterial SSU rRNA". It matches the Rfam family "Bacterial small subunit ribosomal RNA", at positions 136 to 1411 of the family's 1533-position model. Lineage: Bacteria; Bacillati; Actinomycetota; Actinomycetes; Micrococcales; Microbacteriaceae. The record is from RNAcentral.